RNAcentral lists this ribosomal RNA (820 nucleotides) under Hypocreales sp. SCG230909. Its description in RNAcentral is "SSU rRNA". It matches the Rfam family "Eukaryotic small subunit ribosomal RNA", at positions 58 to 887 of the family's 1831-position model. The record is from RNAcentral. Lineage: Eukaryota; Fungi; Ascomycota; Sordariomycetes; Hypocreales.
UCUAAGUAUAAAGCAAUUAUACGGCGAAACUGCGAAUGGCUCAUUAUAUAAGUUAUCGUUUAUUUGAUAGUACCUUACUACUUGGAUAACCGUGGUAAUUCUAGAGCUAAUACAUGCUAAAAACCCCGACUUCGGAAGGGGUGUAUUUAUUAGAUUAAAAACCAAUGCCCUUCGGGGCUCCUUGGUGAUUCAUGAUAACUUCUCGAAUCGCAUGGCCUUGCGCCGGCGAUGGUUCAUUCAAAUUUCUUCCCUAUCAACUUUCGAUGUUUGGGUAUUGGCCAAACAUGGUUGCAACGGGUAACGGAGGGUUAGGGCUCGACCCCGGAGAAGGAGCCUGAGAAACGGCUACUACAUCCAAGGAAGGCAGCAGGCGCGCAAAUUACCCAAUCCCGACUCGGGGAGGUAGUGACAAUAAAUACUGAUACAGGGCUCUUUAGGGUCUUGUAAUUGGAAUGAGUACAAUUUAAAUCCCUUAACGAGGAACAAUUGGAGGGCAAGUCUGGUGCCAGCAGCCGCGGUAAUUCCAGCUCCAAUAGCGUAUAUUAAAGUUGUUGUGGUUAAAAAGCUCGUAGUUGAACCUUGGCCUCGGCCGGCCGGUCCGCCUCACCGCGUGCACUGGCUCGGCCGGGGCUUUCCCUCUGUGGAACCCCAUGCCCUUCACUGGGCGUGGCGGGGAAACAGGACUUUUACUUUGAAAAAAUUAGAGUGCUUCAGGCAGGCCUAUGCUCGAAUACAUUAGCAUGGAAUAAUAAAAUAGGACGUGCGGUUCUAUUUUGUUGGUUUCUAGGACCGCCGUAAUGAUUAAUAGGGACAGUCGGGG